This 241-nucleotide ribosomal RNA is filed under the name uncultured bacterium. RNAcentral describes it as "partial 16S ribosomal RNA". It matches the Rfam family "Bacterial small subunit ribosomal RNA", at positions 15 to 249 of the family's 1533-position model. The record is from RNAcentral.
GAUCAUGGCUCAGGAUGAACGCUAGCUACAGGCUUAACACAUGCAAGUCGAGGGGCAGCAUGAACUUAGCUUGCUAAGUUUGAUGGCGACCGGCGCACGGGUGAGUAACACGUAUCCAACCUGCCGAUGACUCGGGAUAGCCUUUCGAAAGAAAGAUUAAUACCCGAUGGCAUAGUUCUUCCGCAUGGUAGAACUAUUAAAGGAUUUCGGUCAUCGAUGGGGAUUCGUUCCAUUAGGUUGG